Molecule: ribosomal RNA, 450 nt
Filed under: uncultured Methanolinea sp.
Lineage: Archaea; Methanobacteriati; Methanobacteriota; Methanomicrobia; Methanomicrobiales; Methanoregulaceae
Description: bacterial SSU rRNA
Rfam family: Archaeal small subunit ribosomal RNA
Source: RNAcentral
UGGAGCCUGCGGUUUAAUUGGACUCAACGCCGGGCAGCUCACCGGAUAAGACAGCUGGAUGAUAGCCGGGCUGAAGACUCUGCUUGACUAGCUGAGAGGAGGUGCAUGGCCGUCGUCAGUUCGUACUGUGAAGCAUCCUGUUAAGUCAGGCAACGAGCGAGACCCACGCCAACAGUUGCCAGCAUGUCCUCCGGGAUGGUGGGACACUGUUGGGACCCGCCUCUGCUAAAGAGGAGGAAGGAAUGGGCAACGGUAGGUCAGCAUGCCCCGAAUUAUCCGGGCUACACGCGGGCUACAAUGGUCAGGACAAUGGGCAUCAACACCGAAAGGUGAAGGCAAUCUCUUAAACCUGUCCUUAGUUCGGAUUGUGGGCUGCAACUCGCCCACAUGAAGCUGGAAUCUGUAGUAAUCGCGUCUCAAAAUGGCGCGGUGAAUAUGUCCCUGCUCCUU